AUACGUAGGUGACAAGCGUUAUCCGGAUUUACUGGGCAUAAAGGGCGUGUAGGCGGUCUUGCAAGUCAGAAGUGAAAUUCCUGAGCUCAACUCGGGCGCUGCUUCUGAAACUGCAGGACUUGAGUGCUGGAGGGGAUAGCGGAAUUCCUAGUGGAGCGGUAAAAUGCGCAGAUAUUAGGAAGAACACCGGUGGCGAAGGCGGCUAUCUGGACAGUAACUGACGCUGAGGCGCGAAAGCGUGGGGAGCAAACAGGAUUAGAUACGCUGGUAGUCCACGCCGUAAACGAUGAAUACUAGGUGUAGGGGGUAUCGACUCCCUCUGUGCCGCAGUUAACACAAUAAGUAUUCCGCCUGGGGAGUACGGCCGCAAGGUUGAAACUCAAAUGAAUUGGCGGGG
RNAcentral lists this ribosomal RNA (397 nucleotides) under uncultured bacterium. RNAcentral describes it as "partial 16S ribosomal RNA". It matches the Rfam family "Bacterial small subunit ribosomal RNA", at positions 523 to 918 of the family's 1533-position model. The record is from RNAcentral.